This 553-nucleotide ribosomal RNA is filed under the name uncultured bacterium. RNAcentral describes it as "partial 16S ribosomal RNA". It matches the Rfam family "Bacterial small subunit ribosomal RNA", at positions 355 to 900 of the family's 1533-position model. The record is from RNAcentral.
UGGGGAAUUUUGGACAAUGGGCGCAAGCCUGAUCCAGCCAUGCCGCGUGCGGGAAGAAGGCCUUCGGGUUGUAAACCGCUUUUGUCAGGGAAGAAAUCUUCUGAGUUAAUACCUCGGGAGGAUGACGGUACCUGAAGAAUAAGCACCGGCUAACUACGUGCCAGCAGCCGCGGUAAUACGUAGGGUGCAAGCGUUAAUCGGAAUACUGGGCGUAAAGCGUGCGCAGGCGGUUUUGUAAGACAGAGGUGAAAUCCCCGGGCUCAACCUGGGAACUGCCUUUGUGACUGCAAGGCUUGAGUGCGGCAGAGGGGGGAUGGAAUUCCGCGUGUAGCAGUGAAAUGCGUAGAUAUGCGGAGGAACACCGAUGGCGAAGGCAAUCCCCUGGGCCUGCACUGACGCUCAUGCACGAAAGCGUGGGGAGCAAACAGGAUUAGAUACCCUGGUAGUCCACGCCCUAAAACGAUGUCAACUGGUUGUUGGGAAGGUUCCUUCUCAGUAACGUAGCUAACGCGUGAAGUUGACCGCCUGGGGAGUACGGCCGCAAGGUUGAAAC